GAAGCUGUACCUGACAAAAGGAUUAUUUUGAUAGAGUAAACAUAAGGGUUAAAAUCCCUUCAACUUCU
RNAcentral lists this transfer RNA (68 nucleotides) under Austrofundulus transilis. RNAcentral's name for it is "tRNA-Ile". It matches the Rfam family "tRNA". Rfam says of the family: Transfer RNA (tRNA) molecules are approximately 80 nucleotides in length. Their secondary structure includes four short double-helical elements and three loops (D, anti-codon, and T loops). The record is from RNAcentral. Lineage: Eukaryota; Metazoa; Chordata; Actinopteri; Cyprinodontiformes; Rivulidae. RNAcentral also lists the same sequence under 1 other name.